GCUUUCGUAGUGUAGUGGUUAGUACGCUUGAUGCGUAUUCAAGAGGUUCGUGGUUCGAGUCCCGGUGAGAGCA
Molecule: non-coding RNA, 73 nt
Organism: Stegodyphus mimosarum
Lineage: Eukaryota; Metazoa; Arthropoda; Arachnida; Araneae; Eresidae
Source: Rfam